CUACGGGGCGCAGCAGUGGGGAAUAUUGGACAAUGGGGGAAACCCUGAUCCAGCAAUGCCGCGUGUGUGAAGAAGGCCUGCGGGUUGUAAAGCACUUUCGGUUGGGAGGACUGCUUCUAGCACUAAUAUUGUUGGAAGUUGACGUUACCUUCAGAAGAAGCACCGGCUAACUCCGUGCCAGCAGCCGCGGUAAAACGGAGGGUGCAAGCGUUAAUCGGAAUUACUGGGCGUAAAGCGCGCGUAGGCGGCUAGAUCAGUCGGGUGCGAAAGCCCCGGGCUUAACCUGGGAACUGCAUCCGAUACUGUCUAGCUUGAGUACAGGAGAGGAGAGUGGAAUUCCACAUGUAGCGGUGAAAUGCGUAGAUAUGUGGAGGAACAUCAAUGGCGAAGGCAGCUCUCUGGCCUGAUACUGACGCUGAGGUGCGAAAGCGUGGGGAGCAAACAGGAUUAGAUACCCCAGUAGUC
Molecule: ribosomal RNA, 465 nt
Filed under: uncultured bacterium
Lineage: Bacteria
Description: partial 16S ribosomal RNA
Rfam family: Bacterial small subunit ribosomal RNA
Source: RNAcentral